This 279-nucleotide ribosomal RNA is filed under the name Triticum aestivum (bread wheat). Its description in RNAcentral is "partial small subunit ribosomal RNA". The record is from RNAcentral. Lineage: Eukaryota; Viridiplantae; Streptophyta; Magnoliopsida; Poales; Poaceae.
CUCCUUCGCGACAAGGUGCGCGUGGACUUUCUCGACAGAACGCUCGAGCGUGGCGACACCAAGACUUUUGUCUGCUGGCUCUGGGCAUGGGAUGUCGCCCACAUUCCCACCAAGCACAUGCUAUGGGUGCUGCCGCGCGGUGCUGGAGUGAAGGAGAUGCAGGGCUUCUUGGCACCCAACCGCCGGGUGGCGCCGCCGCCCGGAGCAACGCGGUACGGCAUGCUCAUCCAUGUGGAUCGAGUCGAAGUUUGGUCCCUUCCUUCACGGACUUUCUGCUGA